UACAGAGGGUGCAAGCGUUGUUCGGAAUUACUGGGCGUAAAGCGCACGUAGGCGGCUUUCUAAGUCGGGGGUGAAAUCCUGGAGCUCAACUCCAGAACUGCCUUUGAUACUGGCGAGCUUGAGUUCGGGAGAGGUGAGUGGAACUGCGAGUGUAGAGGUGAAAUUCGUAGAUAUUCGCAAGAACACCAGUGGCGAAGGCGGCUCACUGGCCCGAUACUGACGCUGAGGUGCGAAAGCGUGGGGAGCAAACAGG
This 253-nucleotide ribosomal RNA is filed under the name uncultured bacterium. RNAcentral's name for it is "partial 16S ribosomal RNA". It matches the Rfam family "Bacterial small subunit ribosomal RNA", at positions 524 to 776 of the family's 1533-position model. The record is from RNAcentral.